GAUGAACGCUGGCGGCGUGCCUAAUACAUGCAAGUCGAGCGGUAACACUUCGGGUGACGAGCGGCGGACGGCUGAGUAACACGUAGGAACGUACCCCAAACUGAGGGAUAAGCACCGGAAACGGUGUCUAAUACCGCAUGUGGUCUUCGGAUUAAAGCUUCGGCGGUUUGGGAACGGCCUGCGCAUGAUUAGCUUGUUGGUGAGGUAAAAGCUCACCAAGGCGACGAUCAUUAGCUGGUCUGAGAGGAUGAUCAGCCAGACUGGGACUGAGACACGGCCCAGACUCCUACGGGAGGCAGCAGUAGGGAAUUUUCCACAAUGGGCGAAAGCCUGAUGGAGCAACGCCGCGUGCAGGAUGAAUGCCUUCGGGUUGUAAACUGCUUUUAUUGGUGACGAUUAUGACGGUAGCCAAUGAAUAAGGAUCGGCUAACUCCGUGCCAGCAGCCGCGGUAA
This 453-nucleotide ribosomal RNA is filed under the name uncultured bacterium. RNAcentral describes it as "partial 16S ribosomal RNA". It matches the Rfam family "Bacterial small subunit ribosomal RNA", at positions 28 to 523 of the family's 1533-position model. The record is from RNAcentral.